RNAcentral lists this ribosomal RNA (468 nucleotides) under uncultured bacterium. RNAcentral describes it as "bacterial SSU rRNA". It matches the Rfam family "Bacterial small subunit ribosomal RNA", at positions 335 to 795 of the family's 1533-position model. The record is from RNAcentral.
ACUCCUACGGGAGGCAGCAGUGGGGAAUUUUGGACAAUGGGGGCAACCCUGAUCCAGCCAUGCCGCGUGAGUGAAGAAGGCCUUCGGGUUGUAAAGCUCUUUCGGCCGGGAAGAAAUCGUGUUCUCUAACAUAGGACAUGGAUGACGGUACCGGACUAAGAAGCACCGGCUAACUACGUGCCAGCAGCCGCGGUAAUACGUAGGGUGCGAGCGUUAAUCGGAAUUACUGGGCGUAAAGCGUGCGCAGGCGGUUCUGUAAGACAGAUGUGAAAUCCCCGGGCUUAACCUGGGAACUGCGUUUGUGACUGCAAGGCUAGAGUACGGCAGAGGGGGGUGGAAUUCCUGGUGUAGCAGUGAAAUGCGUAGAUAUCAGGAGGAACACCGAUGGCGAAGGCAGCCCCCUGGGCCUGUACUGACGCUCAUGCACGAAAGCGUGGGGAGCAAACAGGAUUAGAUACCCUGGUAGUC